Brassica napus (rape) is the source of this 2748-nucleotide long non-coding RNA. RefSeq lists it as uncharacterized. The transcript has 2 exons. The record is from RefSeq and is a predicted model, not a curated record. NCBI's taxonomy places the organism in Eukaryota, Viridiplantae, Streptophyta, Magnoliopsida, Brassicales, Brassicaceae.
AUACAAAACUCAUUAAUAUUCAUAAAAUUAUGGGUGCACCUGUACCUACAACUGUUUUACUGGCUUCGCCCCUGGUCAUAGACUACAAAUACUUAAAUAUGGAACUCAUAUAUUUUAUUGUUAAUCGUGUACUAUUGUACUGUAGCAUAUAUAACGUACGAGGUUAUAUUCUAGUAUUUAAAAAGUUCAAAAAGAAAGUUGUGAGUCAAAUCUUUGUCAAUCAGGAGUAAAUCACUAUCAAAAGGUCAAUAGUUAAUUCGUAAUAUAAACCAGCAGCGAUACUCACAUAUAUACCAUUUUCAUCUCAUAGAUAUGUUAAUUUAAAAAAUUUGAAAAAUGAUGUUUGGUAUAUAGGAUAUGACCUUUUGGUAACAUACCGUGGAUAUAUGUAUUGGUUAAUUAUGCUUAAUGUUAUGGAAAUAUUAAUUGUGUUCAAAGUGAAUUUCUCUUUAAUAUAGGUGAGAUGAAUACCAUUAAGUUGCCAUUAUUUUCUAGGUAUAUUCUAAAACAUAACUUGGUAUUUUAUUUAAAGCUGUCAUCUGCCCGGCAAAUCUCGCUCACAUAACAGGAAGAUCUUAUGUUUAUGGUUUCAAUACCAUAAUGUAUCAAUCUAGAUAAAUAAAAUUCUCAAAGUUGACAAAUAUUCUUUAGCAAUUUGAUCGUGUAUUCUAACUUCUCACACAUUAAGUACCUAUAUCGAUGAAUUAAUAUUAUAAAUCUUUGGCGUUAAUUCUCAGCGUGGUUCCUACUACAUGCUAUAUGAGCAAGUUAUGCAAUGCACCUUCUUUAUGUCUCAUUAAAUUUACUAUAUACAUUUUAUCCUACAUUAUAAUAUACAUGUUAAUAUUAUCAAUAAUGUAAUCUGCAAACUUUGUAUGAAUAUAUAAUGCACCUUGUUUUUUUAUAGUAGUUUCACCCCGCACCUUGUGCGUAUCUCUACCUAGUAUAAAUACUAUUUAGUUAUAUAAAUUUUUAGUCCAUGUAAAACGUGAAACUAUUUAUAUAUAUAUAUAUAUAAGUCUCUAAUCCUAAAGCGUGGAUCUAUAUCUAAUAAAGCAUGCGAAAGACAAAUGCUUUGUUGUCGAUUCAUAUGUACAGUAACAUUUUUUUCAUUGUUAGUCAACAAUUUUCGAUAUGGCUUUCAUGGUUAGUAGUCGUAAUCACAUAUCUUUCAUUGUUAGUCAAUUGUUUUGCUUCAAAUCUUUAUAAUAGUUUUUAAGUGGCAUGGUUAGCAAGUAUGAUGAUGACUUUUCAAAAUUUGUUUAGUAAUACUUUUUUUUUUCAUCUAGAAAUUAAAACUAUAUCAAUAUGAUCUGAAAUACGCAAGCCGGCAAGGACAGCUGCCUUCCGGAGCCAAGAGCCGGCAAGAAAUACAAUAUUGGCAGUUUUUAAAUUACAAGACAUGCAACACUGUUACAAUGUACCUGUAUAAAUUAUACAAGUCAGCUAAACAACUAAUGCUUAGCUGUCAUGAUAACAAUCUCCCAAACUUGAGUUUCUCAUGGGUGGUCGAGUUUGUCUGUAAUCCCUAAAGAAAUACAUAAUAAAUUUUAUAUAGCUUGCUUGUAGAAGUUAUUCUUUCUUUUCGUUCUAUAUUUUUUUCGGCAAAAUAUAAUUUUAUUAAUCUGGAGACAUUUCAGAUGAUCUAUAGAAAAAUAUGGACUAAUCCUUCAAAAAAGUAGAGUUUAUAGAUAAAUUUACUUUUUGAAUAUGUAAAUGAGCAUGUAAGUGUUUGAUGGAAUGUGUCGUUGUUCGAGCUUGUGUUGAUGUGUUGUGAUGUUGGUGUUGACGUUGCUUGUUGCUAUCAUCGGUGUGUAUUAAGUGUUGACGUAGUUGGUGAAAUGUACUUUAGAUAUUUGGAGGAUUGAAGGCUAAACUUCAGUUCAGGGUUAGGUAUCUUAAUAAAGUCUAAACUCUAGAGAAAUUUAGCUCCAAAUAAUUUGUCUUAAUAAAUUUAUACUAUUGAAUAAACCAGUGAUUUAAGAGGGGUUGUACUUGUAUUACAUGAUGUGUCUAAAUUAGUUAUAAUUUACUUUACUGGUCUAGUAGAUUUGAAAUAUAAAAGAAAUCCCAAAGAUUAAAAAUAAUCUAUGCUAACAAAUUUUAUGUGUCGGUUAAUUGUGCACUUUAUUUUUUCGACUCAUUUACACUUUGAAAAAUAAUAACAAACAAGAAUGUAUGAUGUGCCGUCAAUGUUAACAACUUAUGGAACAAAGAAGAUAAAAAAUCACAAACCUAUAAAUAGACAUACAUACAGAUUACAAAGCCUCAUGCAAUAAUAAUAAUAGAGCAAUAGAAAAAAAAACUAAAGAAACGAUAUGAUGUCAUCUUUGUCCACAACAUCUCUUCUCCCUCUUCUUCUUCUUUCUCUUUUGUGGGCGGUCCUCUCGGUUGACGCUUCUUUCCAGACACUUCCGCUGCCGAUACUUAUGUCCGGCCCUCAAUGUUUCGCCUUUAAUUCCACAGGAAAAGGAUUCUACACUGGAGUCUCCGGUGGUACAAUCCUCAAGAACUCUUUAUUGUGCUACGGUUUACAAGAACCCAUUUCCUCCAAAAAGUGCGGCAGACCGGCUGGGAUAGCCUUCAAUGAGAAAACAGGUGAUCUCUAUGUCGCCGAUGCUCUGUUGGGUCUUCACGUUGUUGUUAGUGCAGUGAGGUCAGAGUAAAAUGCAGAAUUUAAUAAGACACAAGUUUUUCUCUUUUCAAAGUCACUAGAACAAGAAAUUCUUACACCAAUCUUUUCUAUUA